This 253-nucleotide ribosomal RNA is filed under the name uncultured bacterium. Its description in RNAcentral is "partial 16S ribosomal RNA". It matches the Rfam family "Bacterial small subunit ribosomal RNA", at positions 524 to 776 of the family's 1533-position model. The record is from RNAcentral.
GACGAAGGUGGCGAGCGUUGUUCGGAAUCACUGGGCCUAAAGCGCACGUAGGUGGCGCCGUAAGUCGGAUGUGAAAUCCCUCGGCCCAACCGAAAAACUGCGUCCGAUACUGCAAUGCUUGAGGGUCAAAGGGGUGCAUGGAAUUCCCGGUGGAGCGGUGAAAUGCGUUGAUAUCGGGAGGAACGCCGGCGGCGAAAGCGGUGCACUGGUUGACUUCUGACACUCAUGUGCGAAAGCCAGGGGAGCAAACGGG